UACGGAGGAUCCAAGCGUUGUCCGGAUUUAUUGGGUUUAAAGGGUGCGUAGGCGGAUUACUAAGUCAGGGGUGAAAGUUUGCAGCUUAACUGUAAAAUUGCCUUUGAAACUGGUAAUCUUGAGUAUAGUUGAGGUGGGCGGAAUGUGUCAUGUAGCGGUGAAAUGCUUAGAUAUGAUACAGAACACCGAUUGCGAAGGCAGCUCACUAAACUAUAACUGACGCUGAGGCACGAAAGCGUGGGGAGCAAACAGG
Molecule: ribosomal RNA, 253 nt
Filed under: uncultured bacterium
Lineage: Bacteria
Description: partial 16S ribosomal RNA
Rfam family: Bacterial small subunit ribosomal RNA
Source: RNAcentral